This 299-nucleotide signal recognition particle RNA is filed under the name Aotus nancymaae (Ma's night monkey). RNAcentral's name for it is "Metazoan signal recognition particle RNA (ENSANAG00000004603.1)". It matches the Rfam family "Metazoan signal recognition particle RNA". From Rfam's summary of the family: The signal recognition particle (SRP) is a universally conserved ribonucleoprotein. It is involved in the co-translational targeting of proteins to membranes. Lineage: Eukaryota; Metazoa; Chordata; Mammalia; Primates; Aotidae. The record is from RNAcentral.
GCCGGUCGCGGUGGCAUGUGCCUGUAGUCCCAGCUACUCGGGAGGCUGAGGUGGGAGGAUUGCUUGAGCCCAGGAGUUCUGGGCUGUAGUGCGCUAUGCCGAUCGGGUGUCCGCACUAAGUUCGGCAUCAAUAUGGUGACCUCCCGGGGGCAGUGGACCACCAGGUUGCAUAAGAAGGGGUGAACCGGCCCAGGUCGGAAACAGAGCAGGUCAAAACUCCCGUGCUGAUCAGAGGUGAGAUCGUGCCUGUGAAUAGCCACUGCACUCCAGCCUGGGCAACAUAGCGAGACCCCAUCUCU